AAGGGGCUUCUGGAAAAGUAUGGUCCUGAAAGGGUUCUUGAUACUCCAAUUAUCGAGAUUAUUUUUUUUCACUCACAGUUCCUUGCUCUUUGAUAUCUUAUCACUGUUUAAUCCUAUUGAAGAGUCAUUGCAACUGAAAGAGAAAAUUUAAUAGUUUGUAUCACAACUGACAAGAACAAAUAUUUUUAUAUCGGAAGAUUUUCAGUUUAAAACCCAGAGGACUAGAGGCAGAUUGCAAAAACUAAACUAUCACAUGAGGGGAUAAAUCCUAUCCAUCAUUAUCACUGUUUCUGUUUUCUAUUAGUAAGGAGAUGGCACUAAUUUGUUUGCUAAAUAUAUUGCAGGCUGGGUUCACUGGCAUUGGAGUUGGUGCUGCUUACUAUGGGGUCUAAGGCCGGUUGUCGAGUUUAUGACUUUUAACUUCUCCAUGCAGGCAAUAGAUCACAUUAUUAAUUCUGCUACAAAAUCAAACUACAUGUCUGCUGGGCAAAUAUCUGUACCUAUUGUCUUCAGAGGACCCAAUGGAGCUGCUGUUGGAGUUGGUGCUUAGCACUCUCAAUGUUAUGCAGCUUGCUAUGCCUCAUGCCCUAGAUUGAAGGUAUUGUCACCAUAUUCA
This is a non-coding RNA of Arachis ipaensis, 616 nucleotides long. NCBI's taxonomy places the organism in Eukaryota, Viridiplantae, Streptophyta, Magnoliopsida, Fabales, Fabaceae. The record is from RefSeq and is a predicted model, not a curated record.